CCUGGUAGUCCCCACGGUAAACGAUGAAUGCUAGGUGUAGGGGGUAUCGACCCUUCUGUGCCGGAGUAAACACAAUAAGCAUUCCGCCUGGGGAGUACGGCCGCAAGGUUGAAACUCAAAGGAAUUGACGGGGGCCCGCACAAGCAGCGGAGCAUGUGGUUUAAUUCGAAGCAACGCGAAGAACCUUACCAGGUCUUGACAUCCAGGUAAAGCGGUAGAGAUACCGUGUGUGCUUGCACAAUCUGAGACAGGUGGUGCAUGGUUGUCGUCAGCUCGUGUCGUGAGAUGUUGGGUUAAGUCCCGCAACGAGCGCAACCCUUAUUUUUAGUUACUAACGCGUAAAGGCGAGGACUCUAAAGAGACUGCCGGGGACAACUCGGAGGAAGGUGGGGACGACGUCAAAUCAUCAUGCCCCUUAUGACCUGGGCUACACACGUGCUACAAUGGCCGUUAACAGAGGGAAGCAAGACCGCGAGGUGGAGCAAAACCCUAAAAACGGUCUCAGUUCAGAUUGCAGGCUGCAACCCGCCUGCAUGAAGGUGGAAUUGCUAGUAAUCGCGGAUCAUAAUGUCGCGGUGAAUACGUUCCCGGGCCUUGUACACACCGCCCGUCACACCAUGGGAGCCGGUAAUACCCGAAGUCAGUAGCCUAACCGCAAGGAGGGCGCUGCCGAAGGUGGGGUCGAUGAUUGGGGUG
This 696-nucleotide ribosomal RNA is filed under the name uncultured bacterium. Its description in RNAcentral is "bacterial SSU rRNA". It matches the Rfam family "Bacterial small subunit ribosomal RNA", at positions 786 to 1482 of the family's 1533-position model. The record is from RNAcentral.